Molecule: ribosomal RNA, 324 nt
Filed under: uncultured eukaryote
Lineage: Eukaryota
Description: partial 18S ribosomal RNA
Rfam family: Eukaryotic small subunit ribosomal RNA
Source: RNAcentral
CCCUUAGCUGUUCUGGGCCGCACGCGCGCUACACUGAUGCAUUCAACGAGUUUCUUCCUGGUCCGAGAGGAAUGGGUAACCUUUUGAAAGUGCAUCGUGAUAGGGAUAGACUAUUGCAAUUAUUGGUCUUCAACGAGGAAUUCCUAGUAGACGUAGUUCAUCAGACUGCAUCGAUUACGUCCCUGCCCUUUGUACACACCGCCCGUCGCUCCUACCGAUUGAAUGCUCAGGUGAGCCAUUCGGACUUUCAUCAUGCUGGUUUCCAGUUUUGAUGAAGGAAAGUCUUGCGAACCUUAUCAUUUAGAGGAAGGAGAAGUCGUAACA